Molecule: long non-coding RNA, 828 nt
Organism: Mus musculus (house mouse)
Lineage: Eukaryota; Metazoa; Chordata; Mammalia; Rodentia; Muridae
Product: predicted gene, 53407
Exons: 3
Source: RefSeq, a predicted model, not a curated record
GCCUGCUGCAAAUAUGCUGCAUGGGAGGUUUAGAAUGGGACGGUAGCAUCAGACCCAGCUUCUGCAGAGUCUCAAGGCUGCUUGAUCCAGUUCCUCCAUCUUUGCAGAUGAGGAUGUGACCUCUCAGCUUCCCGCUCCAACCACCAAGCUUGCUAGCAGCUAUGUUUUCCUUCCAUGAUGGACUCUUAUCCCUUUGGAACUCACUAUGUAGACCAGGAUGGCCUCAAACUCCCAGAGAUUUGUGCUUAUACCUCUGCCUCCUGAGGGUGGGGAUUAAAGAUUACAGAUGUUCUCACCUCUGGCCAGAAAAGCUUCUCUCUGCAGUGAAUGGCAGUCAGUGAAGAAACUCAUAGCUGGUCAUGUGACUGUUGAGUGCUGAGCUCUAAAUAGGAAAUGUAUAUCAUUCCCCAUCCCAACGUUUAGUGGACAUCAUGGAAGACAGGGCAGAUAAAAUGUCACAGCCACAUGAGACAUGCUGUGGAAUUCUGUCUUCUGGAUAGGACGUGGCCGCUGUGCUAAUGGACUGACUGAGGCUAUGUUUACCUGUCUACGAUCAAGCCAGGAAGAUUAAUCAAACAUUACAUUCCUCUGCACUCAGUGGGUUACAGACACCAUAAAAAGACAUUAAGGUGGGAGGGACAGCAGUGUGAAAUAUUGCAUAAAAUGAUCAAGAUACAUGGUAUUCUUGUAUGGAUUUGCCAAAAAAUAAGAAAAAGAUGCUCUGCAAAAGACUCCUUGUUUAGAGAAAUGGCUCAGUGGAUAAGAGCCUUUGCUACAUUUGCAAAGGACCUGGGGUCAAUUUCCAGCACUUAUGUGGCAAAUCACACC